CAAUAGCGUAUAUUAAAGUUGUUGCGGUUAAAAGCUCGUAGUUGGAUUUCUGCUGAGGACGACCGGUCCGCCUCCGGGUGAGUAUCUGGUUCGGCCUGGGCAUCUUCUUGGAGAACGUAUCUGCACUUGACUGUGUGGUGCGGUAUCCAGGACUUUUACUUUUGAGGAAAUUAGAGUGUUUCAAGCAGGCAUACGCCUUGAAUACAUUAGCAUGGAAUAAUAAGAUAGGACCUCGGUUCUAUUUUGUUGGUUUCUAGAGCUGAGGUAAUGAUUAACAAGGAUAGUUGGGGCAUUCGUACUUAAAUGUCAGAGGUGACAUUCUUUGAUUUGUUGAAGACGGACUACUGCGAAAGCACUUGCCAAGGAUGUUUUUCAUUGAUCAAGAACGAAGGUUAGGGGAUCGAAGAUGAUCAGAU
RNAcentral lists this ribosomal RNA (416 nucleotides) under uncultured eukaryote. RNAcentral's name for it is "SSU rRNA". It matches the Rfam family "Eukaryotic small subunit ribosomal RNA", at positions 592 to 1013 of the family's 1831-position model. The record is from RNAcentral.